This 468-nucleotide ribosomal RNA is filed under the name uncultured bacterium. RNAcentral describes it as "partial 16S ribosomal RNA". It matches the Rfam family "Bacterial small subunit ribosomal RNA", at positions 28 to 507 of the family's 1533-position model. The record is from RNAcentral.
GACGAACGCUGGCGGCGUGCUUAACACAUGCAAGUCGAACGGAAAGGCCCUGCUUUUGUGGGGUGCUCGAGUGGCGAACGGGUGAGUAACACGUGAGUAACCUGCCCUUGACUUUGGGAUAACUUCAGGAAACUGGGGCUAAUACCGGAUAGGAGCUCCUGCUGCAUGGUGGGGGUUGGAAAGUUUCGGCGGUUGGGGAUGGACUCGCGGCUUAUCAGCUUGUUGGUGGGGUAGUGGCUUACCAAGGCUUUGACGGGUAGCCGGCCUGAGAGGGUGACCGGCCACAUUGGGACUGAGAUACGGCCCAGACUCCUACGGGAGGCAGCAGUGGGGAAUAUUGCACAAUGGGCGGAAGCCUGAUGCAGCAACGCCGCGUGCGGGAUGACGGCCUUCGGGUUGUAAACCGCUUUCGCCUAUGACGAAGCGUGAGUGACGGUAAUGGGUAAAGAAGAACCGGCUAACUACGUG